GUGGGGAAUAUUGGACAAUGGGCGCAAGCCUGAUCCAGCCAUGCCGCGUGAGUGAUGAAGGCCUUCGGGUUGUAAAGCUCUUUAGUCCACGAAUAUAAUGACUGUAGUGGAAGAAUAAGCCCCGGCUAACUUCGUGCCAGCAGCCGCGGUAAUACGAAGGGGGCGAGCGUUAUUCGGAAUCACUGGGCGUAAAGCGUGCGUAGGCUGUUUUGUAAGUCAGAAGUGAAAGCCCAGGGCUUAACCCUGGAAUUGCUUUUGAAACUACAAGACUCGAAUUCGGGAGAGGAUAGCGGAAUUGUCAGUGUAGCAGUGAAAUGCGUAGAUAUUGACAGGAACACCAGUGGCGCAAGCGGCUAUCUGGACCGAUAUUGACGCUGAGGCACGAAAGCGUGGGGAGCAAACAGGAUUAGAUACCCCUGUAGUCC
RNAcentral lists this ribosomal RNA (425 nucleotides) under uncultured bacterium. RNAcentral's name for it is "partial 16S ribosomal RNA". It matches the Rfam family "Bacterial small subunit ribosomal RNA", at positions 354 to 796 of the family's 1533-position model. The record is from RNAcentral.